UUACGCAGAUUCCAACGACAUGUCAUUGGAGGUGCUGUGUAGAAAUAUGAAGGUGCCUGAGCGGGGAGGACAGAGGAAAAUGGACACAGUCAACUAUUGAGUAAGCUGAAUGAAUAAGCCUGCUGAUCUGUUAGACUUGGAUCGGGGUGGUAGUGAGGGUGAGAAAGGAGUCAAGAGAAUGAGCGGAUGUUUAGCUGGAUAGAUGGUGACCUCUCUGAUGGGAGAAGACGGAGGAGGAACAGGUUAGUAAGAAAACGUCCAAGGGAAAUUGGAUUUUUUUCCUGGGUGACAAUAUUAUAUCCUGAUCUCUCUCCUGUCCCUCCUUCCUUCCAUCCCUCUGAGGAAAGAGAAUCUCUGAAAGUCCUUUCUUGGUUCCCCCAAAGAAAAUUAUCAUCUUAACGAGCCAUGCAGGCAGGUCUAGAAAAAGCCUGUCGUGCAGGCUUUUCCACUCCUGAUUGUAAAGAACAUUCUAAUCUUAUCGUCUUCGGGAGCCGUGAUGGCGAUCUCUCUGACAGUCAAUGGCCUGUCAUUUGUCUGCUUGGCUUCUCCUUGUUCUGCAGCGUAUUGUGAGCCUCCUGAGGGUGAAGGUAGCAUUCAUUUUUUUGUCUCCCUCAGUUUAACUGGUACAUGGCGUUUAGUAGGUAACUAUAAUUAUUUGUUGAAUUGAAUUAUGACAGUUGUAUGAAUGCUGGCUAUAAUGAACUCGUGUUCUUUUGCUCUUGCCUAGACUUUAUGUGGUCUUCCCAUAUUUCUGCGUGUGGCUCUUUUUAGAGAAGGGAUGUUUCUGUCUUGCUAACCACUGCAUCUCCCGAUCCAGGGUUAGAUUCAAAAAUACCUGUUCGAGAAUGGUGGUUGCCAGAGAGGAGGGGACCUGGGGAGUGGGUAAAACAGGUGAAGGGGGUCUUAGACUUCCAGUUAUAAAUAAAUAAAUCAUGGGGAUAGAAAGGAGAGCAUUGGUGACUAUGGUCAGUAGCAUUGUAGAGCAUAUGUGAAAGUUGUCAAGAGAGUAAAUCCGAAAAGUUAACUUUGUAUGAUGACAGAUGGUGACUAGACUUAGUGUAGUGAUCAUUUCACAUAUGUAAAAAUAUUGAGUCAUUAUGUUGUACACCUGAAACCAAUAUAAUGUUAAAUGUCUGUUAUACCUCAAUCAAUUCGUCUUUUAAAAAAUACUUGUGUUCCUGUUGUGGCUCAGUGGGUUAAGAACCUAGCAUAGUGCCCGUGAGGAUGCAGGUUAGAUCCCUGGCCUCACUCAGUGGGUUAAGGAUCUGGUGGUGUUGCAAAUGGCAGUGUAGGUCACAGAUGUGGCUCAGAUCCGGUAUUGCUGUAGUUGUGGCCUAGGCCUGCAGCUGCAACUCCAGCUCAGCUCCUAGCCCUGGAGCUUCCAUAUGCCACAGAUGUGGCCAUGAAAAGAAACAUAAAUAGGAGUUCCCAUCGUGGCGCGGUGGUUAACGAAUCCGACUAGGAACCAUGAGGUUGCGGGUUCGGUCCCUGCCCUUGCUCAGUGGGUUAACGAUCCGGCAUUUCCGUGAGCUGUGGUGUAGGUCGCAGAUGCAGCUCGGAUCCCGCGUUGCUGUGGCUCUGGCGUAGGCCGGCAGCUACAGCUCCGAUUGGACCCCUAGCCUGGGAACCUCCAUAUGCCGCAGGAGCGGCCCAAGAAAUGGCAAAAAGACGACAACAACAACAACAACAACUCAGAAACAUAAAUAAAUAAAUUUAAAUUUUUUAAAUUUAAAAUACUUGUUCAGUUUUUGAAAAGAGGAGGGCAGUUAAUUCAAAACCUCUGAAAGCAUUAUGCAUAUUACACAGAUAAGGUAGCAAAAAAACAUGUGCCUCUGAUAAAUCUGAAGAGCCUCAGAAGAACUGCUGAGAUUCAUUAAUGGAGCAGAGGGUUCUUAUCCAUAGGCUGAUCACCUUUAGAUUCGCCAAGUUUGAGUCAGAUGUUAUACCCUAAAUUAAUUUUCAUAGUCGACAAAAUUGGGCUAAUCUGACGCUUUGAUACUCAAACUUGAAAGGAUGAUGACUCUUCUUUACUGGUUUUCAAUGAUGUUCCGAGGACCCUUGGACAUCUUGAGCAAGCCAGCUGGAUGGGCCCCAUUCCUGUUACUCGUGUCUUCAUCCAGCAUCACUCGUCUGUACUUGUUUUAUUUACAUGUCUAUAAAUUUUCCUUUGAAGGGCAAGUUCCAUGACUUAAAAGAAAAAAAAAAGUGUCAGAUAACAACCUAAAACUGUUCACAAAUAAUUAUAUUAUUCCUAUAUGUAAAGUGCUUACCUGAGAGUAGGUGGUGGAAUCUGGUUGUCUUUAGGAAACAACAGCUUCAUCUCCUAGAAAGUACAAAAAUCUUUAUCAGUUCAAACAUCAAAAAGCUACAGACGUGUUUGUAAAAUGCACAACACAUUUGUAACUGUUGUAUUUAUUCCUCUUUUUUUUAGACUGUUUUCUUAUGUGUAUUUCCCAAUGAAAUGGGGAACUCUUUGAGAGCAAUAACAAUACUUUUUUGUUUCUAUUGAGAUUAGCACAGUGCUUAGCAUGAUAAAGUUAUACUAAAUUAACAAAUGGAUGGAUGGAUGAAUGGUUGGAUGGAUGGAUGACUGACUAUUAGAAAAAUGUCUGUGACACAACACUAAUACCUAGGACUUGGUAAUUGUUUUCUAAUCCUGUCUCAGCUAUUCUGUUUUUAUAAGGCCCUGAAUAAAUUAAUUUUGUAUCUCAUUAUGCUAAAUAUAAAAUUAAAAAAUAGAGUGUGUUUUGCAAAUUAAGGAUAAUGAGUCACUGUUUCUUGAGACUAGACGAUGCAUGAGCAAAUUAAUUACAACAGCUUAUGUUAUUAUAAUUACAAUGUUUAUUAUAAGAUAUAGUUGCUGUUGAUGAAACUAGCCCAGAAAAGGAAUGUAGUAUGAACAGUUGGUUCAAAUUUGGGGCCAAUAUUCUGGUGAACAAAAUUAUUAUUUAUUACUUGAAGGACCUGAGACCAAAGUUUAAUAAAAAUAUAUAGUCAGCGUUGGGUUUCUGCAGAUUCAGUAACAGCAGUGACCUAGUAGCCAAAGAAGACCUUGAAAACCAGGCAAAGCUGAAGAGGAAGAGGUAAAACGUGAAGGUUUCUACCUCUUGUCAGCUGCUGUGUUGGAAGAAUAUACCUGUGAAUAAAUUUAGUAGAACUCACCAAGUUGCUUCUUUGUGCAAGAUCUGUUGCUGAAUUAGAGAUGAGCUGCUAAAUCAGGGAAGAUGAGACAUAAACACAUAACCAAGAAAGUAUUGAGGCCGCAAGAGAAAUAGUGUUCCGUGGUGUGAGAAUUCAUGACGAGGAAAAUAAUCUUUCUCUAAAUAUUGAGUGUUACUUAGAUUACUUAUGCCUUGGUUUCCAAAUAAUAAAACCUUUCGUCUUCCCAAUAGAGCCUUUAGCAUAAAUAAAUAUGUAGGGAGUGUUUCUGGCCGAAGUACGGGUUCUACAAGGGAGCAAGCCGUUUCCACAAACAUGCUGUGUUUCUUUGUCGGGACAGUCGGCUCCAUUUUGUUUCCAUCCUGUGGCCUGAAGGCCCUUCAAGUUGCGAAGCUGUCUCUGAUGUGAGCCAAAGUUAAAUCAUCAGAUUGACUGACUCACCGCACCAUGUGUUUUGUAUUAAAAAUGUGUGUGUGUGUGUGUGUGUGUGUGUGUGUGAUGAGCAAAUGAAAAUGCGGACUCCCCAGGCCCUACAGUCUUUGUUAUUCCUAGAUUUACCAGUGUUUUCACAAUUCUGUGAAAACAGUGUAUCUCUGAUAUGUUCAAAGUACCUCAUUUUUACAAGGCAGGAUAUUACUAUCGUCUAAAAGCACUAAGAAUAAAUUGAUAUGCAUAUUUACCCCCCCAAAAAAAGCAACAGUAACUUUUGACCUUCAUGUGAAUCUUUAAAUUUGAAUGGGCUAGUUCAGUCUUCAAAAACAAAGAUAAAUGGAUGAUAGAUCUGAAAGAAAGUUUGAAGAAAAAAGACAUACAUAAACUCAUCCUAAUUUAAUACACAUCUUCUAACUUUCAUGUAUUUCCUUCCAGUUAUUUUCAUGUUCGUGUCAUUUCACUCGUUGCUAACCCAUCCUGCUCUGGGAUCUGCCCCCUCCCAGGCCACCACAGCAAUGGCUCUUGUUCGAGUCGCCAUGACCUUGGGGGCCUCCACUCACUCCUUAGUUUGCCAGGCCUCUCCGGGGCCUUGGGCAUAGCCCCGGCCCCAGCUCUCUCCGCGUUCUCUGAGUUCCAGGCGCUGUGAGCCAACUGGCUUUCGGUCCACAGCGUUGCCUUCCCUCCUCGGGGCCUUCGUGUGUUCUGCACCUCUUCCUUGGAAGAUGCUUCUCCCGGUUCCUCCGGCCCCUUCACCCACUUAACUGCUCUUCUUGCAGAGCUCAAUACAGAUGUCACAAAGGUAGAUUAGAUCGCUGCAAGUCUGCUUCAAAAUGGUUUUCUGUCUCCCUUAUCCUCUAAGUUCCUCGAUGGCAGAAGCCGUAAUUGUCUUCACCAUUGAAACCUCAGGGCCUAGAUCAUUGCCUGGCAUGUAGGAGCUGCUAAAAACUUCUGUUGUGGUUGAGCCGAUUUAUGAAUUGUUGCGCCAGUUUCAUAUCCUGCUCUUCGGUGUCAGUGCAUAUCUCCAUGUUGUUCCUUCCUGAUUUGUUUACUUUUAUCAAACGUAUACACACGUGCAUGUGUAACUGUGCUCAAACUGGGAAUAACCCAAAGGUCCAUCAGCAGGAGAAUAGAUAAAUAAAUUGCGCUGUUUUCAUUAAAUGAACUAUUACAGAGCCAUGUUGUAAGUCUUGCUACACAGAACAACAUGAAGAAAUCUUACAAACAUACUAGCAAAUGAAGCCAGAAACACAAGAAUAUUUACAUGUGAUUCCAUUUAUAUAAAUUUCAAAAGCAGGGAAUACUGAUCUAUGAUGUCACAAGUCAGGAUACUGGUUAUCCUUGGUGGGAUCUUGGGGACUGGGAGGGGGCACAAAGGGGGCUUUAUGGGUACUGGCAAAAGUCCAUAUCUUGAUUUGGGUGCUGUUACAUAAUGGUUCACAUGGUGAAAAGGCAGUAAUGAUUUUUUUUCUGCUUAUAUAUUACUGGUAAAUGUUUACUUAAAAAUAAAAAAUUAGGAGUUCUCACCAUGGCACAAUGGGAUUGAUGGUGUCUCUGCAGCAGCAGGGAUGCAGGUUGGAUUCCUGGCUCGUUGCAGUGGGUUAAGGAUCAGGAGCAUUGGAAUAGCUGUCAGUUCCAGCUGUGUCACGGGUCGCAACUACAGCUACAGUUUGAUCCCUAGCUCCAUAUGCUGCAGGGCAGCCAAAAAUUCAAAGUAAAAAUUAAUGAGGAGUUCCCAUCGUGGCACAGCAGAAAUGAAUCCGACUAAGAACCAUGAGAUUGCAGGUUCAAUCCCUGGCCUUGCUCAGUGGGUUAAGGAUCUGGUGUUGCUGUGGCUGUGGUGUAGGCCAGCAGCUGUAGCUCCCAUUAGACCCCUAGCCUGGGAACCUCCAUAUGCG
This 5486-nucleotide long non-coding RNA is filed under the name Sus scrofa (pig). RNAcentral's name for it is "lncRNA (ENSSSCG00025014309.1, ENSSSCG00035054381.1, ENSSSCG00045004756.1)". The record is from RNAcentral. Lineage: Eukaryota; Metazoa; Chordata; Mammalia; Artiodactyla; Suidae.